AUUGAACGCUGGCGGCAGGCUUAACACAUGCAAGUCGAGCGGGGAAAGGUAGCUUGCUCCCUGACCUAGCGGCGGACGGGUGAGUAAUGCCUAGGAAUCUGCCUAUUAGUGGGGGAUAACAUCUCGAAAGGGGUGCUAAUACCGCAUACGUCCUUCGGGAGAAAGCGGGGGACCUUCGGGCCUUGCGCUAUUAGAUGAGCCUAAGUCGGAUUAGCUAGUUGGGGGGGUAAAGGCCUACCAAGGCGACGAUCUGUAGCGGGUCCGAGAGGAUGGUCCGCCACACUGGGACUGGAGCACGGCCCAGGCUCCUACGGGAGGGAGCAGUGGGGAAUGUUGGGCAAUGGGGGGAACCCUUAUCCGACCAUGGCGGGGGUGUGAAGGAAGCCUUUUGGUUGGAAAGCACUUUUAGCGAGGAGGAGGCUACCGAGAGUAAUACUCUUGGUGUGUUGACGUUACUCGCAGAAUAAGCACCGGCUAACUCCGUG
RNAcentral lists this ribosomal RNA (485 nucleotides) under uncultured bacterium. Its description in RNAcentral is "partial 16S ribosomal RNA". It matches the Rfam family "Bacterial small subunit ribosomal RNA", at positions 30 to 507 of the family's 1533-position model. The record is from RNAcentral.